UACGUAGGCAGCAAGCGUUGUUCGGAGUUACUGGGCGUAAAGGGUGUGUAGGCGGUUGGUUAAGUUUGGUGUGAAAUCUCCCGGCUCAACUGGGAGGGUGCGCCGAAUACUGAAUGACUAGAGUGCGGGAGAGGAAAGUGGAAUUCCUGGUGUAGCGGUGAAAUGCGUAGAUAUCAGGAGGAACACCGGUGGUGUAGACGGCUUUCUGGACCGUAACUGACGCUGAGACACGAAAGCGUGGGUAGCAAACAGG
This 253-nucleotide ribosomal RNA is filed under the name uncultured bacterium. RNAcentral describes it as "partial 16S ribosomal RNA". It matches the Rfam family "Bacterial small subunit ribosomal RNA", at positions 524 to 776 of the family's 1533-position model. The record is from RNAcentral.